Molecule: unclassified non-coding RNA, 240 nt
Filed under: soil metagenome
Description: partial contains 5.8S ribosomal RNA, internal transcribed spacer 2, and large subunit ribosomal RNA
Source: RNAcentral
AAGACUAUAGACCUGCGGAGUACCUGCGGAAGGAUCAUUAAAGAGAAAACUGCCCUUUGGGUAGAUUUCCCACCCUUUGUUUACUUUACCUUUGUUGCUUUGGCAGGCCCGUCUUCUGACCACCGGCUUCUAGCUGGUCCGUGCCUGCCAGAGGACCCCCAACUCUUGAUUUUAAGUUGUCCGAGUCUUAUAUAAUAGUAAAAACUUUCAGCAAUGGAUCUCUAGAUCGGAAGAGCACAC